This 120-nucleotide small RNA is filed under the name Arabidopsis thaliana (thale cress). RNAcentral describes it as "ATSL139680". The record is from RNAcentral. Lineage: Eukaryota; Viridiplantae; Streptophyta; Magnoliopsida; Brassicales; Brassicaceae.
AGAGGAUUGUAAGGAGAAGGAGCAUCAGAGCCGUAUACGUCCCAUUGACCUGUUGUGUUACCCAAAUCUUCUAAGUCAAAGUAGACACUUUUGUCUCCAUACUUAGCCACCACACCAUUA